CGAGUUUCCAUGACAACACAAAGGCAGCAGACUGUUAGCAGGGGAUAAAGGGGUGACCAGAGUGAGGAGACAAGUGAAGCUUGAUCCACCAAAGAGAGGGAAGUCGGGUCGUUCUGAAGCGUUCUCCGUCUUGGGACAUCCACGGGCUGAUGGUCAGAGCGAUGGAACCAAACGGACCGUGCAGACGUCGGGUGUUGCAGGAUGGGUUGUUCUGUCGGUUUCUCAAAUCCUAACAGAGUGU
Molecule: long non-coding RNA, 241 nt
Organism: Nematolebias whitei (Rio pearlfish)
Lineage: Eukaryota; Metazoa; Chordata; Actinopteri; Cyprinodontiformes; Rivulidae
Exons: 3
Source: RefSeq, a predicted model, not a curated record